RNAcentral lists this ribosomal RNA (233 nucleotides) under uncultured bacterium. Its description in RNAcentral is "partial 16S ribosomal RNA". It matches the Rfam family "Bacterial small subunit ribosomal RNA", at positions 544 to 776 of the family's 1533-position model. The record is from RNAcentral.
CUCGGAAUUACUGGGCGUAAAGCGUGCGUAGGUGGUUUGUUAAGUCUGUUGUGAAAGCCCCGGGCUCAACCUGGGAAUGGCAAUGGAUACUGGCAAGCUAGAGUGCGGUAGAGGGUAGUGGAAUUCCCGGUGUAGCGGUGAAAUGCGUAGAGAUCGGGAGGAACACCAGUGGCGAAGGCGGCUACCUGGACCAGCACUGACACUGAGGCACGAAAGCGUGGGGAGCAAACAGG